This 294-nucleotide unclassified non-coding RNA is filed under the name uncultured Dothideomycetes. Its description in RNAcentral is "sequence contains ITS1". The stretch from base 1 to 105 matches the Rfam family "5.8S ribosomal RNA", at positions 50 to 154 of the family's 154-position model. Lineage: Eukaryota; Fungi; Ascomycota; Dothideomycetes. The record is from RNAcentral.
GAAAUGCGAUAAGUAGUGUGAAUUGCAGAAUUCAGUGAAUCAUCGAAUCUUUGAACGCACAUUGCGCCCCUUGGUAUCCCGAGGGGCAUGCCUGUUCGAGCGUCAUUUCACCACUCAAGCCUGGCUUGGUGUUGGGCGACGUCCCCUUUGGGGACGCGCCUCGAAACGCUCGGCGGCGUGGCACCGGCUUUAAGCGUAGCAGAAUCUUUCGCUUUGGAAGUCGGGGCCCCGUUUGCCGGAAGACCUACUCGCAAGGUUGACCUCGGAUCAGGCGGGGCUACCCGCUGAGUUUAA